AAUAUGCGCAAACCGACUUUGAGCACAUUAUCUAGGGUUUUUGUUUGCUUUUUAAUUUCCGUUUGCCUUGCACAUUCUUGCAUUAUGUGACUUUGAUUCACAUCCUCGCAUCCCGAUUUUAAUCUGUGCACGUCCCGAUUUUACUUCUUUUAAUUUAAUUUGUGAAUGUCUUGUAAAUAUAACUUGUUGUGUUGUUUAUUUUCUUCACAUGGCUUACUCUUUGGCCUUUUUACAAUGAGAC
This 241-nucleotide long non-coding RNA is filed under the name Lathyrus oleraceus (garden pea). Its description in RNAcentral is "Pisum sativum (pea) long non-coding RNA (PSAT_LNC025861)". Lineage: Eukaryota; Viridiplantae; Streptophyta; Magnoliopsida; Fabales; Fabaceae. The record is from RNAcentral.